Molecule: transfer RNA, 116 nt
Organism: Puccinia graminis f. sp. tritici
Lineage: Eukaryota; Fungi; Basidiomycota; Pucciniomycetes; Pucciniales; Pucciniaceae
Rfam family: tRNA
About the family: Transfer RNA (tRNA) molecules are approximately 80 nucleotides in length. Their secondary structure includes four short double-helical elements and three loops (D, anti-codon, and T loops).
Source: Rfam
GGCGAUAUGGCCGAGUGGUCUAAGGCGCCGUCUUAAGGAGGUACCUGGGACGUCGUGAGAUGUUCCCCAUGUAGUCCGGCGGUCUUCGGGCGUGGGUUCGAAUCCCACUGUCGUCA